Molecule: ribosomal RNA, 464 nt
Filed under: uncultured bacterium
Lineage: Bacteria
Description: partial 16S ribosomal RNA
Rfam family: Bacterial small subunit ribosomal RNA
Source: RNAcentral
GACGAACGCUGGCGGCGUGCUUAACACAUGCAAGUCAAACGGAAAGGCCCCCUUGUGGGGUACUCGAGUGGCGAACGGGUGAGUAACACGUGAGUAACCUACCCUUGACUUUGGGAUAACUUCAGGAAACUGGGGCUAAUACCGGAUAGGAGCUCCUGCUGCAUGGUGGGGGUUGGAAAGUUUCGGCGGUUGGGGAUGGACUCGCGGCUUAUCAGCUUGUUGGUGGGGUAGUGGCUCACCAAGGCUUUGACGGGUAGCCGGCCUGAGAGGGUGACCGGCCACAUUGGGACUGAGAUACGGCCCAGACUCCUACGGGAGGCAGCAGUGGGGAAUAUUGCACAAUGGGCGGAAGCCUGAUGCAGCAACGCCGCGUGCGGGAUGACGGCCUUCGGGUUGUAAACCGCUUUCGCCUGUGACGAAGCGUGAGUGACGGUAAUGGGUAAAGAAGCACCGGCUAACUACGU